Non-coding RNA from Caenorhabditis elegans, 281 nucleotides. The record is from Ensembl. NCBI's taxonomy places the organism in Eukaryota, Metazoa, Nematoda, Chromadorea, Rhabditida, Rhabditidae.
GCGUGCCGCAAAAAUCAUAUUCAGGAAGUCCUUGGUCGUUUUGACUGGAGUCACCACUAAUGUCAAUAAUCACUAAGCAAACUAUAGUACUUACAUAAGUGCGCAAAUUGUGCAGAAAGAGGAAGAGACAGUGAGAGCAUCUCUCUCUCUCUUCCAAAACUCCAGCAAUGAGCAGUUGCUCGUAGAAAGAAGAACUGGUCACAAGGCACCGGUCGGGAGACGCGGUGAAGUGGUUUGCCGGACGGAUGAAAUUGUCAGGAAGAAGGAAGAAAACGAUGAGA